This 862-nucleotide ribosomal RNA is filed under the name Stutzerimonas stutzeri. RNAcentral's name for it is "bacterial SSU rRNA". It matches the Rfam family "Bacterial small subunit ribosomal RNA", at positions 57 to 912 of the family's 1533-position model. The record is from RNAcentral. Lineage: Bacteria; Pseudomonadati; Pseudomonadota; Gammaproteobacteria; Pseudomonadales; Pseudomonadaceae.
GCAAGUCGAGCGGAUGAGUGGAGCUUGCUCCAUGAUUCAGCGGCGGACGGGUGAGUAAUGCCUAGGAAUCUGCCUGGUAGUGGGGGACAACGUUUCGAAAGGAACGCUAAUACCGCAUACGUCCUACGGGAGAAAGUGGGGGAUCUUCGGACCUCACGCUAUCAGAUGAGCCUAGGUCGGAUUAGCUAGUUGGUGAGGUAAAGGCUCACCAAGGCGACGAUCCGUAACUGGUCUGAGAGGAUGAUCAGUCACACUGGAACUGAGACACGGUCCAGACUCCUACGGGAGGCAGCAGUGGGGAAUAUUGGACAAUGGGCGAAAGCCUGAUCCAGCCAUGCCGCGUGUGUGAAGAAGGUCUUCGGAUUGUAAAGCACUUUAAGUUGGGAGGAAGGGCAGUAAGUUAAUACCUUGCUGUUUUGACGUUACCAACAGAAUAAGCACCGGCUAACUUCGUGCCAGCAGCCGCGGUAAUACGAAGGGUGCAAGCGUUAAUCGGAAUUACUGGGCGUAAAGCGCGCGUAGGUGGUUCGUUAAGUUGGAUGUGAAAGCCCCGGGCUCAACCUGGGAACUGCAUCCAAAACUGGCGAGCUAGAGUAUGGCAGAGGGUGGUGGAAUUUCCUGUGUAGCGGUGAAAUGCGUAGAUAUAGGAAGGAACACCAGUGGCGAAGGCGACCACCCUGGGCUAAUACUGACACUGAGGUGCGAAAGCGUGGGGAGCAAACAAGAUUAAAUACCCCUGUUAGUCCACGUCGUAAACUAUGUCACUAACCGUUGUGAUCCUUUAAAUCUGAUUGUCCGCACCUCACUCAGUUAAACCACCGCCUGGGGAGUAUGGUCCGCACGCUAGUGCUCAAAUCGAUUG